RNAcentral lists this ribosomal RNA (198 nucleotides) under uncultured bacterium. RNAcentral's name for it is "partial 16S ribosomal RNA". It matches the Rfam family "Bacterial small subunit ribosomal RNA", at positions 328 to 539 of the family's 1533-position model. The record is from RNAcentral.
ACGCUCGACACCUACGGGAGGCAGCAGUGGGGAAUAUUGCACAAUGGGGGAAACCCUGAUGCAGCGACGCCGCGUGAAGGAAGAAGUAUUUCGGUAUGUAAACUUCUAUCAGCAGGGAAGAAAAUGACGGUACCUGAGUAAGAAGCACCGGCUAAAUACGUGCCAACAGCCGCGGUAAUCUGAGCGGGCUGGCAAGGC